UACGGAGGGGGCUAGCGUUGUUCGGAAUUACUGGGCGUAAAGGGCAUGUAGGCGGAUCGGCCAGUCAGAGGUGAAAGCCCCGGGCUCAACCCGGGAAUAGCCUUUGAUACUGCCGAUCUAGAGUCCGGGAGAGGAUAGUGGAAUUCCCAGUGUAGAGGUGAAAUUCGUAGAUAUUGGGAAGAACACCAGUGGCGAAGGCGGCUAUCUGGACCGGUACUGACGCUAAGGUGCGAAAGCGUGGGGAGCAAACAGG
Molecule: unclassified non-coding RNA, 253 nt
Filed under: Rhodospirillales bacterium
Lineage: Bacteria; Pseudomonadati; Pseudomonadota; Alphaproteobacteria; Rhodospirillales
Also listed under: 1 other name
Description: partial 16S ribosomal RNA
Rfam family: Bacterial small subunit ribosomal RNA
Source: RNAcentral